Molecule: long non-coding RNA, 1701 nt
Filed under: Homo sapiens (human)
Lineage: Eukaryota; Metazoa; Chordata; Mammalia; Primates; Hominidae
Description: HSALNT0025165
Source: RNAcentral
CUGCUGAGGGCCACGCCUGUUCCUGAGGAUUACCUCUCCCAGACCCCAACCCUCCUUCCACCACACCUCAGCCCUGGGAGGCCUGGUGACCAGCUGGGAGUGCCGGGCUCCAAGGCUGAGAGGUGUUGCUCAAUCAGCUGAAGUGUCCUAGUCCAUGAAAAGGGUACGAUUUCUCUUUGCCGAAGAGACAAUGCGGGAACCUUAGGAGAAAACAGCAGGAAAAGACAUUGCUGCCCAGGUGGACACACAUCUCCUCCAGGUGCGCUUUCCUUGGCUUUUGAGGCCUCGUAUAUUUGGACGUUGAAGGCGUCCCUCAGGUACCACCUGGAAUGGUUUGUGCGAGUGGAGCUCUACUACCAAAUGAAAACUUUCAAUUACAUUAUUGUGCAUAAUGGACUUGGGGGCCUUUUUAAAGCAAAGGAAGUAACACUGCAGGAAAGGCAAAAUGGAAUUAAAGAAGCGGAGAGAAGACGGGUCAAAUUUCAAUCAAACAAGAGAGGAGAUGCUCCCAGAGGAACCAGUCUAAGGUGAGGUGUCUUGCAGGCACGGCACUGCACCCUCACUUAGCCCUCUGGUCGAGGCAAUUGUCAUUUCUCUGCAGGCUGCUAGAACAGUACGUCCAUGCACUGAGGAGAGAGAGUCUGCCAAGAGGAAGCCCGGGCCCGGGGCCACCCAGCUGACACCCUGGGUGUUGGAGCCCACCCAGCCUCACAACUCAGCCACUUAGACUCCUGCACAGGUCCUAGGAUUCAUUCUGAUCCGAAGCAGGAGGAUGUGACAGCCUUGACCCCAACUCUCUGGGACUCAACAUGCAGCCCGUGGUAUUUGCUGUCCAGCAUUGGUCUGGUCCCUGAUGUUGAUAACCAAGCAUCCAGCUUAUCCCUAAGACUGAGCCUCCCUCCCUCAGUGUAUGCUCUGGUUCUUACUGUCAGUCAGGCCCUGGAUUUGUCCUUUUUCUGGUAACUGCUCAGCACCCCCCGUGCCUCCUAGAUUGGAGGCCCUGCCCAGCCUCCUUUGAGGAAGAAGAAGCAUGUACAAACAUUUACCAGGUGACUUCAGCAUCCCAGCCACAAUUCCAGACCCUGGGCCACAUCUUCUCCUUUUAUAUCCUCAUGGCAGUUGUGCAAGGCUGAACUGGUCCCCAGCAUACAUGAAGAACAUUGACGCUAUUGAAGCUCAGAGAUGAUAAGGACAUUUCCCAAGGUCAUCUGGCUGGGGAGUGGAGGAGCAGGCAUUGGAGGCCUGGUCAGUGUCACCUGAGAGCGUCACGUUACUACCGCUCCACUCGGGGCCUCCCCGGGACUGAAGCGCAGCUCCAAACUGCAGCCGAGUCUGGGCUCUCUCUCACCUGCCAGCCGCCUCACUAACGGCUGCUCCUCCUGGAUUUGCCACGGCUCUGUCUUCUCCCCUGUGUGGGGUCCCUCACUGUGGUCAACCUUGCAUCCCACGUGGCCAACCGGCCUUGAGGAAGAAAGCAAACUCUGGGCCUGAAACCAACUUAGCCACUUAAUAGCUUGCUCCGUGAGCCUGAACAAGUUUCUUAGUUUCUCUGCAAGUCGGUUUCCUCAUUCGUGUAAAACCCACCCCGUAGAGUGGUUGUACAGAUGUAAAUCUGAAUACCCUUUAAAAUCCUGAAUUUAAAAGCUUUUUUUCCAGCAACAUAGUGAGACAUCAUCUCAAAAUAAAUAAAUAAAUAAAAAA